Molecule: long non-coding RNA, 1216 nt
Organism: Piliocolobus tephrosceles (Ugandan red Colobus)
Lineage: Eukaryota; Metazoa; Chordata; Mammalia; Primates; Cercopithecidae
Exons: 3
Source: RefSeq, a predicted model, not a curated record
AUAUACUUAACUAAAUAUAUCAUGGGAAUCAGUGUCUCUUCCUUCCUCUCAUCAACACCUUCUCACUCCCCAAAACCUGGAUUCUGAUCUGAAUUCUAAGUCACAGGAUAGAAAAGGGGAGCGACAGAAUAGUGAACCUCUUUGAUUCAUAAGGUUGAAUGUAUCAGACGGUUCUUGAAAAUAAAGGCCAUACUUCUUCUAUAUCAGAGUGUAAUAUAUAUUUCCAUUUGAAUCAAUAGGUCAUUGUGCCUUUUCUGUGAAAUAAACCUCAAAUACUAGAGUCCCUGAGGUUGUUGAACCACUUGUUAUGACAGUCCAGUAAAGAAAGCUAAACUUGAACUGAAAUGAUCUUUGUAUGAGGUGGUAAGUUUUUUACUUUCUGGAUCAGCGAUGAUUGAUUCAUACUAUCUAGCAAUUUUAUUUCUUUCCCCUAAUUGGUAGCAUUGGGCAGAGUGAGCUACCUUGUUAUAGUGACCUUCUGAGACCAUUUUCAGAACUCUUCACAGUUCACUGUGAUAAAAGCUAUAUAUUUGAAGUACUAGCUCACAAAGGUAUAGAAUAUGUUUUUUGGGGUCUGUGUACUUAAACUAGACUUCAUAAAACAGUUUUCCCAGGAUUUUUCUUUUUCGGGAUGGUAGAGGAUUCUGUGUAUACUUAAAGCUAGAGCCUUAGACAAGUUAUUUCACUUUUUUCUCUAUCUUUGUUUUCUCUUUACUAGAUAGAUUAUAUCAUUGGCAAAAGGUGACUUUGCCCUAGCCUUAAAUAGUUAGCAUCCCAUUUUAUGGAUGAUACCUUGUUCUUGACAUCUGCAAGAAAAGUUAAAUGGAAGGAUAGAUUAAGGUGUUAUAUGACAUGUUCAAACACUGCACAUACUUGGAAUUUUGAGAAUAAUCAUGCUGUAAUCUUUCAUUGUAGGUCAUGUGAAACUAACAGACUUUGGACUAUGCAAAGAAUCUAUUCAUGAUGGAACAGUCACACACACAUUUUGUGGAACAAUAGAAUACAUGGCCCCUGAAAUUUUGAUGAGAAGUGGCCACAAUCGUGCUGUGGAUUGGUGGAGUUUGGGAGCAUUAAUGUAUGACAUGCUGACUGGAGCACCCCCAUUCACUGGGGAGAAUAGAAAGAAAACAACUGACAACAUCCUCAAAUGUAAACUCAAUUUGCCUCCCUACCUCACACAAGAAGCCAGAGAUCUGCUUAGAAAGGUAAGGUUCUU